This 348-nucleotide ribosomal RNA is filed under the name Triticum aestivum (bread wheat). Its description in RNAcentral is "partial small subunit ribosomal RNA". The record is from RNAcentral. Lineage: Eukaryota; Viridiplantae; Streptophyta; Magnoliopsida; Poales; Poaceae.
AUGGCUAGCUUGUUGCUUGGCAGUGCUGGCCCAAGUGAUGUCCAAAGGCAUUUCCAAAGAAGGCAUUGGAGAAGCUGCAGCUUACCUUGCUUGGGGGAACCACAAACAACUUCUUUUGUAUCCAGCUUUAGCACCAACAAACAAUAUUUCUUCCGCUAUGGUUCCUUCUCAAUUAAGGAUGGAUCGGAAAUUAGAUUCUGGGAGGAUGAGUGGCUAGGUAAUGCUACUCUCCGAAAACAAUAUCCAGCUCUAUACAAUAUUGUGCGUCACAAGGGUGAUACUAUUGCCAAGGUUUUGGAAUCAUUUUCCGCCAAAUGUGACGUUCAAAAGGGAUUUAAUUGGACCUAG